Molecule: ribosomal RNA, 828 nt
Filed under: uncultured archaeon
Lineage: Archaea
Description: bacterial SSU rRNA
Rfam family: Archaeal small subunit ribosomal RNA
Source: RNAcentral
GGUUGAUCCUGCCGGACCCUACCGCUAUCGGGAUGGGAUUAAGGCAUGUUAGUCGUGCGCUUCCUAGCCAUGAUGGAGGCGCGGCGCACAGCUCAGUAUCACGUGGCUAACCUAACCUUAGGACGGGGGCACCCCCGGGAAACUGGGGCUAAUUUCCGAUAGGUGAAGAUUCCUGGAAUGGAUUUUUGCCUAAAGGGCACUUGGGUCAUGCUUCCAGGUGUUGCCUAAGGAUGGGGCCGCGGCCGAUCAGGUUGUUGGUGAGGUAAUGGCCCACCAAGCCUUUUACCGGUGCGGGCCGUGGGAGCGGGAGCCCGGAGAUGGGCACUGAGACAAGGGCCCAGGCCCUACGGGGCGCAGCAGUCGCGAAAAUUUCGCAAUAAGCGAAAGCUUGACGGAGCUAUCCCGAGUGCCAUCCGCUGAGGAUGGCUUUUCUCUAGUAUAGAUAGCUGGGGGAAUAAGGAGAGGGCAAGUCUGGUGUCAGCCGCCGCGGUAAUACCAGCUCUCCGAGUGGUGGGGAUGAUUAUUGGGCCUAAAGCAUCCGUAGCCGGCUGAGCGAGUCCCCUGUUAAAUCCAGCGAUUCAAUCGCUGGUCUGCGGGGGAUACUGCUUGGCUUGGGGGCGGGAGAAGCCGUCGGUAUUCCCGGGGUAGGGGUGAAAUCCUAUAAUCCCGGGAGGACCACCAGUGGCGAAGGCUGUCGGCUAGAACGCGCUCGACGGUGAGGGAUGAAAGCUGGGGGAGCGAACCGGAUUAGAUACCCGGGUAGUCCCAGCUGUAAACGAUGCAGGCUAGGUGUUAGGUCGGCCACGUGCCGCUCUAGUGCCGCAGGGA